CCCUUAGAUGUUCUGGGCCGCACGCGCGCUACACUGAUGCAUUCAACAAGCCUAGCCUUGACCGAGAGGUCCGGGUAAUCUUUGAAACUGCAUCGUGAUGGGGCUAGAUUAUUGCAAUUAUUAAUCUUCAACGAGGAAUGCCUAGUAAGCGUGAUUCAUCAAAUCGCGUUGAUUACGUCCCUGCCCUUUGUACACACCGCCCGUCGCUCCCACCGAUUGAAUGUGUUGGUGAGGAGCUCGGAUUGGCAGCAGUUGGUGGUUCGCCACCGGCUAUUGCUGAGAAGUCCUCCAAACCGCCCCAUUUAGAGGAAGGAGAAGUCGUAACA
This 326-nucleotide ribosomal RNA is filed under the name uncultured eukaryote. RNAcentral's name for it is "partial 18S ribosomal RNA". It matches the Rfam family "Eukaryotic small subunit ribosomal RNA", at positions 1470 to 1796 of the family's 1831-position model. The record is from RNAcentral.